UUGCCCCUGCGUGCUGUUUCUUCCUGGGUUGUUGCUCAGUGCGUGUUUGUUUCUUGCUCCGACACCUGGGGUGUUGGUCAGUGCUGUGGUGUCUACAUUACUUCACUCCACAGAGAGUUAGAUAGUGAAGGAAGUGGUGCUGAGAAUUGCGCAACCGAUUUGCGGAUUCCUGGGUGCGUGAUUGAUUUGGGCGAGGAGAGGGAAGGCGAUUCUGGAGGAAACGGGAGAGAGAGAGAGAGAGAGAGAGAGAGAGAGAGAGAUCGCUCGCGAAAGGAAUAUAUAUCGGCCUUAACCAAAGACUCCGCUGCUUCACCAGAGUGUCAAGGCACGGAACCAGAACUUGAAAAAGAAGAAUAAUCACCAGGACACUCGGAUCGUUUUGAGGUAUGUGUUUUUCUCUGCUUUGCUUCCUUUUGUGGAAUUGGAUCCUUCUGCCGAGCCGGUUGGUGGAAAUCACGUUUUCGUCCUUAUUUUGUGAUAAGGACGACACCGACGUCGUCUAACUCGACUCUUCCAGACUAUCAUCAUCUGCACUCCUUUUUUCGCUCUCCCAAACCUGAUACACCAGAAUUGAUAUCAUCCCAAACAAUUAUCAUCCCAAAAUCUUUUUCAAAUCCAUCAAUCGUAUCUUACCGGACCAACAAAAUUAACUCUCCCCAAAUCUCUGUCCUCAAGAUCAAAAAUAAAGGAGCUUCAAAUUCUUUGCUGAUUCAUAAGGGCAAGAACGUAGAUAGCUCAGAGAAAAGGAAGAGGGGGACGGGAAGCAGUCAAAAUCGGUUUUCUAAGUUCUAUACAAAGAAGUGUGUGCAUUAUUCUUCUGCCGCUGUUCCUGUGUACAUUGUUUGGCAUUAUCUCAGUUUCUUAUUCCUAUUCAGAUAUUCAGGACAGCGUGCUGUCAACUUCUUUAGCUGUUUUGGGUUCAAAUAUAAAUUUUUCAGCAAUUAUCGGUGAGAACAACAAAAAAGGAGCAUAUCUUCUCACUUUUGCUACUGCUCAUCCAACUCAAUUAGCAACCAAUGGAAGAGAUGAGUUUUGCAGGCAAUGGAAGUCUCGCUUUAUAUAUAAACAUGAAACCCAAACCAACAACCAAGGCCUCUCCAUUUCCAGCUUAUAAGGCUUUUGAUUUUGCUGCGGUGACAUGCUGUGAUAGUUACUUUUCCAUUUGCCCAUUUGUUGAUAACAUCCCAUGUAUUUCAACUAAUUAUCGUCUUACAAUUUUGCUUCAAUUCACAGCCUCUAUCUUCCAUUCA
This is a long non-coding RNA of Rosa rugosa (rugosa rose), 1250 nucleotides long. RefSeq lists it as uncharacterized. The record is from RefSeq and is a predicted model, not a curated record. Lineage: Eukaryota; Viridiplantae; Streptophyta; Magnoliopsida; Rosales; Rosaceae. The transcript has 8 exons.